Long non-coding RNA from Theobroma cacao (cacao), 206 nucleotides. RefSeq lists it as uncharacterized. The record is from RefSeq and is a predicted model, not a curated record. Lineage: Eukaryota; Viridiplantae; Streptophyta; Magnoliopsida; Malvales; Malvaceae.
AAAAGGGAGAGAAAGAACUGUGAGAGAGGAAGAGCAAAGAGAAUGGUUUUGCUGCACUUUGAGGAAAGAAAAAGAGAGUUUUUGCUACAAUUUUGGAGGAAGAAGAAAGCUGAAAAUUUUGAGCUGGAAAUUUUGGAGGUUUUGCUGCCAUUAAAGGGCAGCAAAGUGCUGCCAAUUUGUGCAGAAAAAUUGGAGCUAUUUGUUGC